This 1519-nucleotide long non-coding RNA is filed under the name Prunus persica (peach). RNAcentral describes it as "long non-coding RNA (PPER_LNC004141)". The record is from RNAcentral. Lineage: Eukaryota; Viridiplantae; Streptophyta; Magnoliopsida; Rosales; Rosaceae.
CAGACCUUCAAUACAACAAGUGAUCCAAGUGCUUAACUUUGAGGUUCCAUUGCCCAUUCUCCCAUCCAAGAUGCCGGUGGCCACCUAUUUUGCUCCUCCAACAUCACUCUCAACGGUGACCACUGACACUACUAGUUCUGAAAGAGGUCAAACAGAGUCUCACAACGCGGUUAUAACACCGAUUCCUCACAAUUUACCCCAUCUUCUACAACAAAAUUCGUCUCCAUCAAAAACAUUUCAGUCUCCACGAUAAUUCUUAAGUUAAUAAUUGUGAUAAACUGUAUUAAAAUAUUUUGGAAUUUAUCUUUCAAUUGUAUUCAUUUAAUAGUUGACAGCAUUAUUGUGUUCAUGUUGUAAAUACUUUAUGAAGUUUUAACUAUUUUCUUUGGAAAGGCUUCUUUCACUGUAUACUGCUUUCUGUUUGUUUUCUCCUCUUUAACCAUGUUAUGUAUGACUGCUUCAGGACCACAACACUCAACGUUCAUGUCUUUUAUAUGAGUAUUAAUGCUGUUGUGAAUUUUUCGAUGAGGCCUUUCUUGGUGUUGGUGUGAAGGUAUCUCUAUUAUUUUGGGAAUUGGCACUUUCUUUUUAAUCUUUAUAUUAUACAUCAUCGUAAUGUCGUUUAAAAUUGUCCAAAGAUUGAUCUUAGUGAUCAUCUGUGAACUAAGAUACAGAAAAUAUAAUAAGUUUUGUGCAACUGUGUCUCACUCAUAAACUUUCACUCAAAGAAAAUGUCAAAAUACAGCGCAUGCUCUUGCCUAGCUCAUUACAAUUUCAAUCUUUUUUAUUUAUAAGCUUAGUCCAUGCACAAAGCAGAACAUUCAAAAUUCAAACUCAGAAAUUAUUGAGAGAGACAAUAAAAAAAAAUGACCAACAAACAAGCUAAAAAUCAAACUGAAAUAAGAUGGGAAGAGAAAAUGGGGUUGAAGUAAAAAUACCAGAAAUGUUGAUGGCUGCAUUAAGCUCCUAACGAUUAGCCACCAUUUUUAUAAUCUGAAAGUUCCUGGUGCAGAGUGAUGAGCUUGACUCGGCCAAUAACAUGCUCCUGACUCCUGAGGACGUAAAAAACAAACAUCAUCCAACAACAUAAGGACCAAUUAAACACUGAAAGUGAGUAGAACCGAUGGUUCCAAUCAACACCCACAUACAAUUUUCACCAAAGAUUUCAUUUUUAUGAAAUUGGAAUUUGGGUUCGCUCUGCUGGUUCUUCUUCUGCAAGCAAAUAACAAAGUUCAUCUGUAUUUAAUUUUGCAUAACUAAAAGACGGUAUUUCUUUAGGGAGAUGACACGCUAGAAUGGCUUUCGCUAGAAUAGAAACGAACACGUAGCUCAAAAAAGAGAGAAGCCUCACAAGGAACAGAGCGGAGCCCGCACCAGGAUCAGGAGGCCAAGUCUAGCCCAAAAUAUUAAAAGAUACACGAAACAGAGAAAACCCACGAAGGCAUCAACCCCCUCAUGGGACAAGCGAUGUUCUUCCAUUCUAGCCUGAUACAAAAGCCCAAAGAAGAGUGUGCCUGCG